CACGUAGGGGGCAAGCGUUGUCCGGAUUUAUUGGGCGUAAAGAGCUCGUAGGCGGUUCGGUAAGUCGGGUGUGAAACCUCCAGGCUCAACCUGGAGACGCCACCUGAUACUGCUGUGACUCGAGUCCGGUAGGGGAGCGUGGAAUUCCUGGUGUAGCGGUGAAAUGCGCAGAUAUCAGGAGGAACACCAGCGGCGAAGGCGGCGCUCUGGGCCGGAACUGACGCUGAGGCGCGAAAGCGUGGGGAGCAAACAGG
RNAcentral lists this ribosomal RNA (254 nucleotides) under uncultured bacterium. RNAcentral's name for it is "partial 16S ribosomal RNA". It matches the Rfam family "Bacterial small subunit ribosomal RNA", at positions 524 to 776 of the family's 1533-position model. The record is from RNAcentral.